GCCAGGCUCGGUGUCAUGUGCCUGUAGUCACAGCUACUCGGGAGGCUGAGGUGGGAAGAUUGCUUGAGCCCAGGAGUUCUAGGCUGUAGUGCGCUUUGCUGAUCUGGUGUCUGCAGUAAGUUUGGCAUCAAUAUGGUGACCUCCUGGGAGCAGGGGACCACCGGGUUGCCUAAGGAUGGGUGAAUAGGCUCAGGUCGGAAACGGAGCAGGUCAAAACUCCCGUGCUGAUCAGUAGUGGGAUCACACCUGUGAAUAGCCACUGCACUCCAGCCUGGGCAAUAUAGUGAGACCCUGUCUCUA
Molecule: unclassified non-coding RNA, 300 nt
Organism: Callithrix jacchus (white-tufted-ear marmoset)
Lineage: Eukaryota; Metazoa; Chordata; Mammalia; Primates; Cebidae
Rfam family: Metazoan signal recognition particle RNA
About the family: The signal recognition particle (SRP) is a universally conserved ribonucleoprotein. It is involved in the co-translational targeting of proteins to membranes. The eukaryotic SRP consists of a 300-nucleotide 7S RNA and six proteins: SRPs 72, 68, 54, 19, 14, and 9.
Source: Ensembl